AUUGAACGCUGGCGGAAUGCUUUACACAUGCAAGUCGAACGGCAGCACGGGGGCAACCCUGGUGGCGAGUGGCGAACGGGUGAGUAAUACAUCGGAACGUGCCCAGUCGUGGGGGAUAACGUAGCGAAAGCUACGCUAAUACCGCAUACGAUCUACGGAUGAAAGCGGGGGAUCGCAAGACCUCGCGCGAUUGGAGCGGCCGAUGGCAGAUUAGGUAGUUGGUGGGGUAAAGGCUCACCAAGCCUUCGAUCUGUAGCUGGUCUGAGAGGACGACCAGCCACACUGGGACUGAGACACGGCCCAGACUCCUACGGGAGGCAGCAGUGGGGAAUUUUGGACAAUGGGCGAAAGCCUGAUCCAGCCAUUCCGCGUGCAGGAUGAAGGCCCUCGGGUUGUAAACUGCUUUUGUACGGAACGAAACGGCCUUUUCUAAUACAGAGGGCUAAUGACGGUACUGUAAGAAUAAGCACCGGCUAACUACGUGCCAGCAGCCGCGGUAAAG
This 502-nucleotide ribosomal RNA is filed under the name uncultured bacterium. Its description in RNAcentral is "bacterial SSU rRNA". It matches the Rfam family "Bacterial small subunit ribosomal RNA", at positions 30 to 525 of the family's 1533-position model. The record is from RNAcentral.